AGUGAACGCUGGCGGUAGGCCUAACACAUGCAAGUCGAACGGCAGCACAGUAAGAGCUUGCUCUUACGGGUGGCGAGUGGCGGACGGGUGAGGAAUACAUCGGAAUCUACUUUUUCGUGGGGGAUAACGUAGGGAAACUUACGCUAAUACCGCAUACGACCUACGGGUGAAAGCAGGGAUCUUCGGACCUUGCGCGAUUGCAUGAGCCGAUGUCGGAUUAGCUAGUUGGCGGGGUAAAGGCCCACCAAGGCGACGAUCCGUAGCUGGUCUGAGAGGAUGAUCAGCCACACUGGAACUGAGACACGGUCCAGACUCCUACGGGAGGCAGCAGUGGGGAAUAUUGGACAAUGGGCGCAAGCCUGAUCCAGCCAUACCGCGUGGGUGAAGAAGGCCUUCGGGUUGUAAAGCCCUUUUGUUGGGAAAGAAAAGCAGCAGGUUAAUACCCCGCUGUUCUGACGGUACCCAAAGAAUAAGCACCGGCUAACUUCGUG
RNAcentral lists this ribosomal RNA (491 nucleotides) under uncultured bacterium. RNAcentral describes it as "partial 16S ribosomal RNA". It matches the Rfam family "Bacterial small subunit ribosomal RNA", at positions 29 to 507 of the family's 1533-position model. The record is from RNAcentral.